UUGUCUCUUAACCCUAAGACGGAUUAAGUUGGCAGCUGGAAGCAUCUGCUUCUCCGCGGUUUGGUUGCUCCCCCUGGUUGGGUGUCUGUACUCUGUAUAUACCAAGUCUUGACGUCAACGAUGACAUCAUCAAUCCCCUGAUUUUUGAUUUUUUCGUCGUUGUUUUGCUUGCAUAUGCUGUCAAGAAGCGCUUCAUCCCCCGUGAGUUUCUUGAACUUCAUUCAUUCCCCUUUCCCGUCUAGUCCUCCGGACAAGCUUUAACUAAUUCUAAGGUUUUGGGUCGUACGCCAAAGCAAAAAGAAAGCAAAAAGCUUCAGCUUUGAGGCGGUAGUCAUUUUGGCAUCCAAUAGAUGAAUCGUUGUUGGCGGGUUUUCUCUUUCUUUGCCCCCUUUUUUUUUUUUUAUAAGAAACGAUGAAUGUAGAUUGAUAAUAUGGAUCCAAGCACUCAUCUUUCUUUAAUUUUGAGUCACUUCUGUCGAUUGUUCAUUGUUAUAUGCUGGGUCCCGAAUUGUGGUUUAGUUGGUAUGAACAGAAACUUGGAGCUUUUAUGUGAAUUUACAGGAGGCAAUAGUUUAUAAUAUAUGUGCAUACAUUGGAUACUGGUAGUUCGUACAUUAGCAAAAGCUGUUUACUAUAGUGUACAAGUUUCAUCAAGAACUGUAGACAAAAGCAGCAAAAGCUGGUAUGUACAUUAGCAAAAGGUGAUCAUUGACAAAAAUAGGUGACUUUAUGACACUAAACUGAUCUCAAAAGCUGAUGCAAAACAUAGGAAUGGUGCAUGAUUUUAGUCGAUUAUUUGGUGCUUUGGCUGGUCAGUGAUUGUUGCUGGUGGAUCUCUUUUCUUAGUUGCUGUAGCUUGUGCGAUGGUUGGAUUGGUUGUGUCUUUGCUUGAAUCUUCAGUUGCAAUUUGUUGAUCAGGUAGGUUUGAUGAUGAGGCUUCAUUGGUUGCUGGUGCAGGGGUCUGUGUAGGAUCUUCAAUUGGUAGACAAGCGAGGAUGUUGUACUUUGCUACAAUUGUGUUUUGUAGAGGAUGAGUGAAUUUCCUGACUUGAAAACGAAAUGUGCUCAUAUGGAGCUUUAUAUUGAUGUCUGCAAUAUCUGGAAUUUGGUUCUGUGGACAUUGGUUUCUGAAUGAGUAUGUCUUUGGUUUGGUAUAUGAAUAGUGUGAAUAAAUUUGUAUUCUAUAAAAAGUAAUGUUGUUAAUGUUCAAAAUUACCUUUAGUGUCAUGUAGAGUAUGUCUUCAGCAGAGAUGUUGAGAAUGUGUUGAGCAUGCUGGUCUUCAAUUUGUGCAGUAAUUGUUCCAGUAGUAUCAGACAGUUGCACUAAGAACUUGAGCCUGCAUUAAGUAUUAUGGUUUUGUUAUGUUAUGAUAAGAAGAAUGUUAUGAAUUUUAGUGUGUAAAUAUGUUUAUGGAUUUACCUUGGCAGUGGUUUUGCAAAUGUCAUGUUGCAAUGACGGCAUAAGAAGUUGAAAUUUGCUUGAGCUCCAGUUUGUUUCUUGCAAUUAGAAGCUGGACAGGUAAGGAUGUAGAGUCGAUGUUGAGGCUGAACUAUCUUUGCUUUGGCUUUGAUCCAGAAUGGCUUUGCCUGUAAGAUUUCAUGUGGUUAAAUAUUAGAUUUUGUUGUGAUAGUAUUUGUUAUCGAAUAUAUUGUAUUUUGUACUGAUAAAUGUAGUAGUUGUACCAGAUAAGGAGUAUUUAGUGCAUAGCUGAUGUCGUGCAUAUGUUCUUCAGGAGGAGGUUGGACUGUUUGAUGAGUUGCAUCAUAAAGUUUUUUUGCUAAAACUUGCUCAAUAUAAGGUCUGCUUGCUUUGGUCCUGUUAUAUUGUAUAGGAUGGUGUCAGAUUUUGGUUAUAAUGUGCCUAACGAAUAAGUAAAUAUUGACUUUAUCAACUUACCAACUUUUGAGUUCUAGUGCUUGAGGGAUUUGUGGAUCAAACAAGAUAGCACUCAUUGUUUGUGUCUCGACAGAUAAAACUGUUAUAUGAUUAUUUGAAAAAUUAGUACUAUAUUCUGUAAAGCAGAUAAUAUACUUGACUUUUGUAAGUUUAUAUGAAUUAGGGACAGAUUGACAUACCAUGUACUGAAGUCACUUUGGCUCUUGUUAUAAUCAAUGUCGGGGAUUGAUUUAAGAUCCUCAGAAGGUAUUGUGCUUCAAUGUCAAUGAAUUUUGGCCACAUUGUAAGUAUCAUUGGCUUUUGUCUGCAUCAGUUAUCAAUAGUUAAUAUGAGUUUUGUGUUGUAUUGCACUUUAUUAAUUUGCAUUGUUUUUAUACUUACUCUUGAUUUAGGAUGAUGAAUUCUUGAAUUGGAUAAUCGCCUCUUUGUCGUGCAAUGAAGCGACGGGGAAGAGCUCCAAUGACAGUGCAUAGCAGAGCUGAGACAAGAGCAUUAGGUAUUAGUAUUGAUAUGUAAGAAUCAUUGUAGUAACAAUGUAAUGAAAAUUAUUAAAGUGAAGUAGUACUUAUCGGAUUUGUAUUUGUAUCCAUGUACUUAUAGAAGUCUCUGAAUGGUGUAAAAUUGUAGCACUGAUCGAUAGGAUACUGGUUUUCUUGAUCUGCUUCUUUGAUGAAUGUACCUCUGGUCAAGGUUAGUUGAAAUGGUGAAGUGCAGUAUCUGAAAUUUU
RNAcentral lists this long non-coding RNA (2624 nucleotides) under Coffea arabica (coffee). Its description in RNAcentral is "long non-coding RNA (CARA_LNC006761)". The record is from RNAcentral. Lineage: Eukaryota; Viridiplantae; Streptophyta; Magnoliopsida; Gentianales; Rubiaceae.